Molecule: long non-coding RNA, 273 nt
Filed under: Phoenix dactylifera (date palm)
Lineage: Eukaryota; Viridiplantae; Streptophyta; Magnoliopsida; Arecales; Arecaceae
Description: long non-coding RNA (PDAC_LNC018343)
Source: RNAcentral
AACCUUUGCUCUUAUUGAUUUAUAUUUUUGAUGUGUUAUGGGUUCUUGCAUAACUAUUUUGUAGAUAGAUUUUUAAUGGUUUAUGUUUAUUGGUACAUGGACUGCUUUAGUAUUUGAUUUGUUGUUGAUGUAAUAGGCACGAUGAAUGCUUAGAAAUAGAUUUCAUGUGUCCAUAAAAUAUAUUUCAUGUUUUGAUCUAUUCUACUCUUACAUCCUUAAACAAGAAUCGCAGGAUUUAUUCUUGAAUGCAAUAUUAUCAAGGGGGAUUCCGGA